UACAGAGGUCUCAAGCGUUGUUCGGAUUCAUUGGGCGUAAAGGGUGUGUAGGUGGCGCCGUAAGUCGGGUGUGAAAUUUCGGAGCUUAACUCCGAAACUGCAUUCGAUACUGCGGUGCUUGAGGACUGGAGAGGAGACUGGAAUUCAUGGUGUAGCGGUGAAAUGCGCAGAUAUCAGGAGGAACACCGGUGGCGAAGGCGGGUCUCUGGGCCGAUACUGACGCUGAGGCGCGAAAGCCAGGGGAGCAAACGGG
RNAcentral lists this ribosomal RNA (253 nucleotides) under uncultured bacterium. RNAcentral describes it as "partial 16S ribosomal RNA". It matches the Rfam family "Bacterial small subunit ribosomal RNA", at positions 524 to 776 of the family's 1533-position model. The record is from RNAcentral.